Molecule: ribosomal RNA, 444 nt
Filed under: uncultured bacterium
Lineage: Bacteria
Description: partial 16S ribosomal RNA
Rfam family: Bacterial small subunit ribosomal RNA
Source: RNAcentral
GUGAGGAAUAUUGCGCAAUGGAGGCAACUCUGACGCAGCCAUGCCGCGUGCAGGAAGAAGGCGCUACGCGUUGUAAACUGCUUUUAACCGGGAAGAAACCCCAGGACGUGUCCUGGGUUGACGGUACCGGAGGAAUAAGCACCGGCUAACUUCGUGCCAGCAGCCGCGGUAAUACGAAGGGUGCAAGCGUUAUCCGGAUUCAUUGGGUUGAAAGGGUGCGUAGGCGGAGCGUUAAGUCAGUGGUGAAAUCCUGCAGCUUAACUGUAGACUUGCCAUUGAUACUGGCGCUCUUGAGUGCGCUUGAAGUGGGCGGAAUGUGCCGUGUAGCGGUGAAAUGCUUAGAUAUGGCACAGAACACCAAUUGCGAAGGCAGCUCACUAAGGCGAUACUGACGCUGAGGCACGAAAGCGUGGGGAUCGAACAGGAUUAGAAACCCGGUAGUCC